This 1403-nucleotide long non-coding RNA is filed under the name Struthio camelus australis. RNAcentral's name for it is "lncRNA (ENSSCUG00000014826.1)". The record is from RNAcentral. Lineage: Eukaryota; Metazoa; Chordata; Aves; Struthioniformes; Struthionidae.
GACCUGAGAAUGGCCAUUGCUUUGUGACUAUGUAAUGAAAUGGGUCAUUACUCCCAGAGUGCCCGGGAGCCCCGGACCUGAUCCUGUGGAGGUGGAAAACGGGUUUUCAUGGAAGGGAAGAGAACUGCUCUAGGCAGAUCCCUUUGCAAAGACCAGACGUGGAUAUACAAGACACUGGCAGGGUGUUAUGGGGAGGAGAGGAGCUAAGCAGCCUGCAGCGCCUGCCCACGGACACGGGGCCUGGACCCGGACCCCUGAGAUGCGUGCAGGCAAAUCACACAGGCAAAACCACGAUGUGGGGGAGAGCGUAGCCUAGAAGUGUCAAUCAGGGAGGGCGGCAGCGCUCCGGCUGUCGCCCACCAACCCGGCAGUCAGAAGGCAGCACAGCGCCUGCUUGUUUCACGUAAAACCCAAUCUGGUGCCUUCCCAAAGUGACCACAGUGACAGCCUGGAAGCUCUCAGCCCUGCCUGCCUGGUCUUCCCAGACGAAGAGCUGUUGUGACCAUCGUUUUUUCAGUCUUUCUGCUAGACUUUUUGAUAAGAGAAACGACAUCCCCGAGCACAGCUCUCCCGCGUGGAGGACGGGGCUCUCCCAGGCUCUUCCUUGUUCACACGAGGCUGAUUCAAAAAAGAUGUUGGCAAAAGAUGUUACGGAGCUUUCAGACCAAAUCUCUUUUCGGACUGUGACACUUCCUUCUCUCCUUCCUCAGACAGGAAUCGCACCAGUCUGGACUGCAUUCCCCUGUGUUCCCAUAGCUGGAAAAAGGAGACACCAGUGACUAGGAACAAUCCCUCCGGAUUACUUUCUUUUUUUUUUCAACCAAAUAGGGCGGAUCAGCCCUUUGUCCUGCAAGUUUUCCCAGCGCAUCGUUCGCCAUACACAAGACCAAUGCGCUCACCACCCAAAGGACAGAAACAGGUCUGGUCUCGUCGCUCAAGCCACGAUGAGUAAGAGAAGGAACGUUUUCUGUAAAGGCAUGUGCAGGGCUUAUCUUUGGGAAAAAAGUCAAAUAAUAGAAUUCUCAACAAAAAAUCCUCUUUCGGCUGCUGACAGGACCACAGGCUCCCUCCUCAGAAGCCCUCGUGACGAAGACGGUUCAGUUCUGCACCAGGUGGCACAGCGCGAUGGGGCAGCUGGGCCUCCUUGGGGACCAAAACGCCUCUCACACGUAGGAGCUACGACGACCUGCGGCUCCCCCGCCUCUGCCCCCGAGGAUCACUCUACAAAACAGAAAGAAGCUCCAAUAAUCCAGCAACAAUUUCACCCCCUCCCAAAUAUAAUUGCGUUCUUUUCUCACAAGUGUUUAGCAAAUGUAACCUCUGUGUUUUAUCACUUACAUUCAUUGAUCAAACUGAUGUGUUUCUCUUUUGGACAGUCAUUACAUCUGAAAGUUUACAACUAG